Long non-coding RNA from Canis lupus familiaris (dog), 1026 nucleotides. RefSeq lists it as uncharacterized. The record is from RefSeq and is a predicted model, not a curated record. Lineage: Eukaryota; Metazoa; Chordata; Mammalia; Carnivora; Canidae. The transcript has 3 exons.
CACACGCGUGUGCACACAUUGGUGUGUAUGUGAAACUGAGGCAGGAACAUCCUAAAGCAAUACCUACCCUACGAUGCACAGUGCUAUUUUCAUCCUACUUUUGGUUUUCAUUCUGUAAAUCUUAGAUAUGACCCAUUAAAUUGAUUUUAUAAGCCACAAUUGGGUCACAACCUGUAGCUGCAGUAGAGGUCAACAAGGACUGGGUCAGGCCAGCCUUUUCCAGAGUGGGCCAGGCUGGGCUCCACUGUGUCCACCUCUGUCCUCACUUCCCUCUCUGCCUGGUCCCCAACCAGCUGGACAGAAGGGGUCUGAAUGCUCACAUCAAUCCUGAGACAGAACUUUCCUUGCCCCAUCUUGACCUCUGUAGGUGCCCCCCGGCCCCCAGUCCGGCUCUAGUGUCCGUUUCCCUCCGCAGGAGAUUGAUCUCUCCAUGGAUCUCGACUCACCGAGGCAAAUGCCUGCUACAGUCUGUGUGUGAGAAGUCCCUGCUGCCUGAGCAGAGGAGCAAGGGGAGCUACAUCAACAGGAAGGCUCGCUGCUUCUGUGGGCAAGCCUGCUGGCUUUGUGACCAUGUGAGCCAGUGGUUGCUAGGUUACCCCUUCCCCACAACUCCAGAACCGCUCUCCAGCACCCCUCUCCUCACCCCCACACAGCUCCUCUGAUCCCUCCAGAUGUGCCACCUAGUGCUAAGCCACUCGUCCUGCCAGAGACACAGAACAGUGAUGUGUGACUUACACUUACUCUCACGGGACUGCUGGGAAGACUGAGUGACUUCGUGCAUAUUGAAGUGUUUAGGACAGUGCCAGGCACUAAGUAGGAGCGCCUACCAUUCAUGCCUUCUCGGAGCCUGUAAGACAGGGCAGCCGCCUCUACUCCUGGUGUCUUUCUGAAGGACAAGUGAGCUCAGGGAAGCCAGGUACCUGGCUUUUACCUGGCACACCCGAGAUGCUCAAAAAUAGUAAUAAUAAUGCUCAUUAAUAUUGGUGUCUUGGGGGAUCCCUGGGUGGCUCAGUGGUUUAGCAUUUG